ACGGCUCAGUAACACGUGGCUAACCUGCCCUUGGGACGGGAUCACCCCCGGGAAACUGGGGCUAAUCCCCGAUAGGUGAAGAACUCUGGAAUGAGUCUUUGCUCAAAGGGCGCCAGAUCAUGCUUUUGGUGUCGCCCAAGGAUGGGGCCGCGACCGAUCAGGUUGUUGGUGAGGUAAUGGCCCACCAAGCCUAUAACCGGUGCGGGCCGUGAGAGCGGGAGCCCGGAGAUGGGCACUGAGACAAGGGCCCAGGUCCUACGGGGCGCAGCAGUCGCGAAAACUUUGCAAUACACGAAAGUGUGACAGGGUUAUCCCGAGUGCCGACCGCUGAGGUUGGCUUUUACCCAGUCUAGAAAGCUGGGGGAAUAAGGAGAGGGCAAGUCUGGUGUCAGCCGCCGCGGUAAUACCAGCUCUCCGAGUGGUGUGGACGUUUAUUGGGCCUAAAGCAUCCGUAGCUGGCUGAACAAGUCCCCUGUUAAACCCACCGAUUUAAUCGUUGGCGUGCGGGGGAUACUGCUCGGCUAGGGGACGAGAGAGGCAGACGGUAUUCCCGGGGUAGGGGUGAAAUCCUAUAAUCCCGAGAAGACCACCAGUGGCGAAGGCUGUCUGCUAGAACGCGCCCGACGGUGAGGGAUGAAAGCUGGGGGAGCGAACCGGAUUAGAUACCCGGGUAGUCCCAGCUGUAAACGAUGCAGACUAGGUGUUUGGACGGCCACGUGCCGUUCUAGUGCCGCAGGGAAGCUGUUAAGUCUGCCGCCUGGGGAGUACGAUCGCAAGAUUGAAACUUAAAGGAAUUGGCGGGGGAGCAC
Molecule: ribosomal RNA, 809 nt
Filed under: uncultured archaeon
Lineage: Archaea
Description: bacterial SSU rRNA
Rfam family: Archaeal small subunit ribosomal RNA
Source: RNAcentral